UUAACUCAUCAAUAAAAUUUAGUCAAAAUGUACACAUGCUUUGAUUCAAAUUACUCAUCAUGGUGUUCACAUAAUCAUAUAAUCUUCCAACAGAUGCUAUUCUCAUGAAUGAUCAAUUAGCUAAGCAUAAAUAUAAUCAUGAAUUCCUGGAAUCAUUCCUCACCAGAUAAAGUGUUUCACUCAAUCACACAUGUGUUUCAAGAGGCUCCUUCCCUCUACUAUCUAUAUGUCACAUAGAACAAAAUUACUUUUCAUUUGCCACAAUCAAACAUCACCACAUACACAUGUCAUCACAAGGACUUUUCAAGGCUUAUAAUGUGGUUGGGCUAAAAAGGAAAAUUGGUUUUUCUAGAUCAUAAAACCCUUGAGUUAAGAGAGUUAUUAUACAUUCAUAGUUAAAGCACAAACUCUCUCUUUUUACCAAUCUCACUCAUUCCCAACUUUCCCUUUUCUUCACAUUGAGCUUUUCUUUUCAUGCUUUGCUUUUUCUAUCUUUUUCAUCUUUUCUCAUGCAUUUUCUUUUCAACUCAUAAGCUCAAUGUCUAACUUUUCUUUUCUUUUUCAAUUCUCCCAACAACCCCAAACUUGAACCUUUAAUAAUACCCCAA
Molecule: long non-coding RNA, 608 nt
Filed under: Vigna radiata
Lineage: Eukaryota; Viridiplantae; Streptophyta; Magnoliopsida; Fabales; Fabaceae
Description: long non-coding RNA (VRAD_LNC010238)
Source: RNAcentral